AUUGAACGCUGGCGGCAUGCUUUACACAUGCAAGUCGAACGGCAGCACGGGCUUCGGCCUGGUGGCGAGUGGCGAACGGGUGAGUAAUAUAUCGGAACGUACCCAGAAGUGGGGGAUAACGUAGCGAAAGUUACGCUAAUACCGCAUACGAUCUAUGGAUGAAAGCAGGGGACCGCAAGGCCUUGUGCUCCUGGAGCGGCCGAUAUCUGAUUAGCUAGUUGGUGAGGUAAAGGCUCACCAAGGCGACGAUCAGUAGCUGGUCUGAGAGGACGACCAGCCACACUGGAACUGAGACACGGUCCAGACUCCUACGGGAGGCAGCAGUGGGGAAUUUUGGACAAUGGGCGCAAGCCUGAUCCAGCAAUGCCGCGUGAGUGAAGAAGGCCUUCGGGUUGUAAAGCUCUUUUGUCAGGGUAGAAACGGUAGAGGCUAAUAUCCUGUGCUAAUGACGGUACCUGAAGAAUAAGCACCGGCUAACUACGUG
This 484-nucleotide ribosomal RNA is filed under the name uncultured bacterium. RNAcentral's name for it is "partial 16S ribosomal RNA". It matches the Rfam family "Bacterial small subunit ribosomal RNA", at positions 30 to 507 of the family's 1533-position model. The record is from RNAcentral.